AUACGUAGGGGGCGAGCGUUGUCCGGAAUGAUUGGGCGUAAAGGGCGCGUAGGCGGCGCGGUAAGUCUGGAGUGAAAGUCCUGCUUUCAAGGUGGGAAUUGCUUUGGAUACUGCCGCGCUUGAGUGCAGGAGAGGUUAUCGGAAUUCCCGGUGUAGCGGUGAAAUGCGUAGAGAUCGGGAGGAACACCAGUGGCGAAGGCGGGUAACUGGACUGCAACUGACGCCGAGGCGCGAAAGUGUGGGGAGCAAACAGGAUUAGAUACCCUGGUAGUCCACACUGUAAACGAUGAAUGCUAGGUGUAGGGGGUAUCGACCCCUUCUGUGCCGCAGUCAACACAAUAAGCAUUCCGCCUGGGGAGUACGGCCGCAAGGUUGAAACUCAAAUGAAUUGACGGGG
This 397-nucleotide ribosomal RNA is filed under the name uncultured bacterium. Its description in RNAcentral is "partial 16S ribosomal RNA". It matches the Rfam family "Bacterial small subunit ribosomal RNA", at positions 523 to 918 of the family's 1533-position model. The record is from RNAcentral.